GCCUACGGGAGGCAGCAGUAGGGAAUCUUCCACUAUGGGCGAAAGCCUGAUGGAGCAACGCCGCGUGGGUGAAGAAGGUCUUCGGAUCGUAAAACCCUUUUGUUAGAGAAGAAAGUGCGUGAGAGUAACUGUUCACGUUUCGACGGUAUCUAACCAGAAAGCCACGGCUAACUACGUGCCGGCAGCCGCGGUAAUACGUAGGUGGCAAGCGUUAUCCGGAUUUAUUGGGCGUAAAGGGAACGCAGGCGGUCUUUUAAGUCUGAUGUGAAAGCCUUCGGCUUAACCGGAGUAGUGCAUUGGAAACU
RNAcentral lists this ribosomal RNA (305 nucleotides) under uncultured bacterium. RNAcentral describes it as "bacterial SSU rRNA". It matches the Rfam family "Bacterial small subunit ribosomal RNA", at positions 337 to 634 of the family's 1533-position model. The record is from RNAcentral.